UCUCUAGCUUUUGUUUUAUCUUCAGUCCUUAAAUCAAUAAUAAAGAAGAUCCCUUUGAAAGAUCAGUGAUAAAGUAGAUCAGUUCUCAAAUAUGCUCAGUGCUGAUUAAGGAUGCAAGUGGUGAACCAGUGCAUAGUAUUGGAUCAGCUAGCUAGUUCAUUUUUAUCCCAUUUCUGUUGUUUGUUUCGAGAUUUGGAUUAGUUCAAUUAAAUAAGUUUUGUGUUGACCGAAUGACCCAGAGGAAUCAGAACUUGCAUCCCUAGUGCUGACACUAUUUAUGAGCUUCCUCUUAAACCAAUUUGAAGUUUCAGUUUUGAUUUAUAAGGGUGUUUCAAUGCUGCAGUUUAUGAAGCAUAGGCGCGCACUGUUGAUCAAUUAUUUUAUUGAGUCUAGGAGACUAGGUUUUGUUAAUUUGCUUCGACUCUGAAGGCCAGCAUGGAAAAACCAAAAGGCUUGUAUAAUGCAACUAAGGACGUGUAACAAGUGUUCUUAGGAAGUCACCGAGAGCUCACUUUAGUUGUCCCAUAAAUCAGUUUUUUAUUUAUUACACGAGGUUUGCUUGCUGCUGAAAUGUAAGCACAAGGUCAGCCUGUCAGAUAUUUAAAAAGAAUAUGCAGAAAUGUGAUAUAUGCGAGGAGGUGCAUUGGGCCGUCAUCCCUCAUUGACAUCCCAAGAUGGUCAUGACACAGGGAUGGUCCUGGGGAGCUAGAUGGGUACUGUAUGUUACAAGCAUGAUCGCAAGAAGCUGCCAGUGGCAGCGGAGAUGGUGUGCGGAUGUGUGACACAGGAAAGGCCUGCAGGAGUCAGGAUGUGCGCAUGGAGGAAGGGUCGUAAGGAGAUGCCGCCUAGAAAGAAAGUAUCCAGCGGAAGCAUGAAGGAGCAUAUGCCUCAUGUGGCGAGGCCUGCAGGAGUCAGGAUGUGCGCAAGGAGGAAGGGUCUUGAGGAGAUGCCGCCUAGAAAGAAAGUAUCCAGCGGAAGCAUGAAGGAGCAUACGCCUCAUGUGGUGUGAUGCUGGCCAUGUGGAGCAUAUAUAUGGAAACUGGCCAUUAUUUUUUAUGCUGCGUCUUAAGUUGUCAAUUAAUGGGAUUACUCUAACUUGCCCAUAACUUUUAAUCUCAAGUUAUCCUUGAUCAUUAUGGACAUUGUGGAAAAACGGGCAAGUUGACUUGUUUUUUUU
Long non-coding RNA from Panicum virgatum (switchgrass), 1177 nucleotides. RefSeq lists it as uncharacterized. The transcript is spliced from 2 exons. The record is from RefSeq and is a predicted model, not a curated record. Lineage: Eukaryota; Viridiplantae; Streptophyta; Magnoliopsida; Poales; Poaceae.